RNAcentral lists this ribosomal RNA (870 nucleotides) under uncultured bacterium. Its description in RNAcentral is "bacterial SSU rRNA". It matches the Rfam family "Bacterial small subunit ribosomal RNA", at positions 38 to 900 of the family's 1533-position model. The record is from RNAcentral.
GGCGGAAUGCUUUACACAUGCAAGUCGAACGGCAGCACGGGAGCUUGCUCCUGGAGGCGAGUGGCGAACGGGUGAGUAACAUAUCGGAACGUACCUAGUAAUGGGGGAUAACUACUCGAAAGAUUAGCUAAUACCGCAUACGCCCUGAGGGGGAAAGCGGGGGAUCGUAAGACCUCGCGUUAUUAGAGCCGCCGAUAUCUGAUUAGCUAGUUGGUGGGGUAAAAGCCUACCAAGGCGACGAUCAGUAGCUGGUCUGAGAGGACGACCAGCCACACUGGAACUGAGACACGGUCCAGACCCCUACGGGAGGCAGCAGUGGGGAAUUUUGGACAAUAGGCGCAAGCCUGAUCCAGCCAUUCCGCGUGAGUGAAGAAGGCCUUCGGGUUGUAAAGCUCUUUCGCAAGGUAAGAAACGAUGCAGUCGAAUAAACUGCGUUAAUGACGGCACCUUGAUAAGAAGCACCGGCUAACUACGUUCCAGCAGCCGCGGUAAUACGUAGGGUGCGAGCGUUAAUAGGAAUUACUGGGCGUAAAGCGUGCGCAGGCGGUUUUGUAAGUCAGAUGUGAAAUCCCCGGGCUCAACCUGGGAACUGCGUUUGAAACUACAACGCUAGAGUGUAGCAGAGGGGGGUAGAAUUCCACGUGUUGCAGUGAAAUGCGUAGAGAUGUGGAGGAAUACCAAUGGCGAAAGCAGCCCCCUGGGUUAACACUCACGCUCAUGCACGAAAGCGUGGGGAGCAAACAGGAUUAGAUACCCUGGUAGUCCACGCCCUGAACGAUGUCUACUAGUUGUUGGUGGAGUAAAAUCCAUUAGUAACGCAGCUAACGCGUGAACUAGACCGCCUGGGGAGUACGGUCGCAUGAUUAAAAC